This 374-nucleotide ribosomal RNA is filed under the name uncultured bacterium. Its description in RNAcentral is "bacterial SSU rRNA". It matches the Rfam family "Bacterial small subunit ribosomal RNA", at positions 523 to 898 of the family's 1533-position model. The record is from RNAcentral.
AUACGUAGGUGGCGAGCGUUGUCCGGAAUUACUGGGCGUAAAGGGUGCGUAGGCGGUUUUUUAAGUGGGAUGUGAAAUCCCUGGGCUCAACUCAGGAAUUGCAUUCCAUACUGGGAGGCUAGAGUGCAGGAGAGGAAAGCGGAAUUCCCAGUGUAGCGGUGAAAUGCGUAGAGAUUGGGAGGAACACCAGUGGCGAAGGCGGCUUUCUGGACUGUAACUGACGCUGAGGCAUGAAAGUGUGGGGAGCAAACAGGAUUAGAUACCCUGGUAGUCCACACCGUAAACGAUGGGCACUAGGUGUAGGGGGCGUAGCCCUCUGUGCCGCAGUUAACACAUUAAGUGCCCCGCCUGGGGAGUACGAUCGCAAGAUUAAA